This 2919-nucleotide ribosomal RNA is filed under the name Klebsiella pneumoniae. RNAcentral's name for it is "23S ribosomal RNA". It matches the Rfam family "Bacterial large subunit ribosomal RNA". The record is from RNAcentral. Lineage: Bacteria; Pseudomonadati; Pseudomonadota; Gammaproteobacteria; Enterobacterales; Enterobacteriaceae.
GGGUUGUGAGGUUAAGCGACUAAGCGUACACGGUGGAUGCCCUGGCAGUCAGAGGCGAUGAAGGACGUGCUAAUCUGCGAAAAGCGUCGGUAAGGUGAUAUGAACCGUUAUAGCCGGCGAUGUCCGAAUGGGGAAACCCAGUGCAAUUCGUUGCACUAUCGUUAACUGAAUACAUAGGUUAACGAGGCGAACCGGGGGAACUGAAACAUCUAAGUACCCCGAGGAAAAGAAAUCAACCGAGAUUCCCCCAGUAGCGGCGAGCGAACGGGGAGCAGCCCAGAGUCUGAAUCAGCUUGUGUGUUAGUGGAACGGUCUGGAAAGUCCGACGGUACAGGGUGAUAGUCCCGUACACCAAAAUGCACAGGCUGUGAACUCGAAGAGUAGGGCGGGACACGUGGUAUCCUGUCUGAAUAUGGGGGGACCAUCCUCCAAGGCUAAAUACUCCUGACUGACCGAUAGUGAACCAGUACCGUGAGGGAAAGGCGAAAAGAACCCCGGCGAGGGGAGUGAAAAAGAACCUGAAACCGUGUACGUACAAGCAGUGGGAGCACCUUCGGGUGUGACUGCGUACCUUUUGUAUAAUGGGUCAGCGACUUAUAUUCUGUAGCAAGGUUAACCGUAUAGGGGAGCCGCAGGGAAACCGAGUCUUAACUGGGCGUUAAGUUGCAGGGUAUAGACCCGAAACCCGGUGAUCUAGCCAUGGGCAGGUUGAAGGUUGGGUAACACUAACUGGAGGACCGAACCGACUAAUGUUGAAAAAUUAGCGGAUGACUUGUGGCUGGGGGUGAAAGGCCAAUCAAACCGGGAGAUAGCUGGUUCUCCCCGAAAGCUAUUUAGGUAGCGCCUCGUGAAUUCAUCUUCGGGGGUAGAGCACUGUUUCGGCUAGGGGGGUCAUCCCGACUUACCAACCCGAUGCAAACUACGAAUACCGAAGAAUGUUAUCACGGGAGACACACGGCGGGUGCUAACGUCCGUCGUGAAGAGGGAAACAACCCAGACCGCCAGCUAAGGUCCCAAAGUCAUGGUUAAGUGGGAAACGAUGUGGGAAGGCACAGACAGCCAGGAUGUUGGCUUAGAAGCAGCCAUCAUUUAAAGAAAGCGUAAUAGCUCACUGGUCGAGUCGGCCUGCGCGGAAGAUGUAACGGGGCUAAACCAUGCACCGAAGCUGCGGCAGCGACACUAUGUGUUGUUGGGUAGGGGAGCGUUCUGUAAGCCUGCGAAGGUGACCUGUGAGGGUUGCUGGAGGUAUCAGAAGUGCGAAUGCUGACAUAAGUAACGAUAAAGCGGGUGAAAAGCCCGCUCGCCGGAAGACCAAGGGUUCCUGUCCAACGUUAAUCGGGGCAGGGUGAGUCGACCCUAAGGCGAGGCCGAAAGGCGUAGUCGAUGGGAAACAGGUUAAUAUUCCUGUACUUGGUGUUACUGCGAAGGGGACGGAGAAGGCUAUGUUAGCCGGGCGACGGUUGUCCCGGUUUAAGCAUGUAGGCUGGUUAUCCAGGCAAAUCCGGAUAAUCAAGGCUGAGGUGUGAUGACGAGGCACUACGGUGCUGAAGUAACAAAUGCCCUGCUUCCAGGAAAAGCCUCUAAGCAUCAGGUAACAUCAAAUCGUACCCCAAACCGACACAGGUGGUCAGGUAGAGAAUACCAAGGCGCUUGAGAGAACUCGGGUGAAGGAACUAGGCAAAAUGGUGCCGUAACUUCGGGAGAAGGCACGCUGGUGUGUAGGUGAAGUCCCUGCGGAUGGAGCUGAGACCAGUCGAAGAUACCAGCUGGCUGCAACUGUUUAUUAAAAACACAGCACUGUGCAAACACGAAAGUGGACGUAUACGGUGUGACGCCUGCCCGGUGCCGGAAGGUUAAUUGAUGGGGUUAUCCGUAAGGAGAAGCUCUUGAUCGAAGCCCCGGUAAACGGCGGCCGUAACUAUAACGGUCCUAAGGUAGCGAAAUUCCUUGUCGGGUAAGUUCCGACCUGCACGAAUGGCGUAAUGAUGGCCAGGCUGUCUCCACCCGAGACUCAGUGAAAUUGAACUCGCUGUGAAGAUGCAGUGUACCCGCGGCAAGACGGAAAGACCCCGUGAACCUUUACUAUAGCUUGACACUGAACAUUGAGCCUUGAUGUGUAGGAUAGGUGGGAGGCUUUGAAGCGUGGACGCCAGUCUGCGUGGAGCCAACCUUGAAAUACCACCCUUUAAUGUUUGAUGUUCUAACGUUGGCCCCUUACCGGGGUUGCGGACAGUGUCUGGUGGGUAGUUUGACUGGGGCGGUCUCCUCCCAAAGCGUAACGGAGGAGCACGAAGGUUAGCUAAUCGGUCGGACAUCAGGAGGUUAGUGCAAUGGCAUAAGCUAGCUUGACUGCGAGCGUGACGGCGCGAGCAGGUGCGAAAGCAGGUCAUAGUGAUCCGGUGGUUCUGAAUGGAAGGGCCAUCGCUCAACGGAUAAAAGGUACUCCGGGGAUAACAGGCUGAUACCGCCCAAGAGUUCAUAUCGACGGCGGUGUUUGGCACCUCGAUGUCGGCUCAUCACAUCCUGGGGCUGAAGUAGGUCCCAAGGGUAUGGCUGUUCGCCAUUUAAAGUGGUACGCGAGCUGGGUUUAGAACGUCGUGAGACAGUUCGGUCCCUAUCUGCCGUGGGCGCUGGAGAAUUGAGGGGGGCUGCUCCUAGUACGAGAGGACCGGAGUGGACGCAUCACUGGUGUUCGGGUUGUCAUGCCAAUGGCACUGCCCGGUAGCUAAAUGCGGAAGAGAUAAGUGCUGAAAGCAUCUAAGCACGAAACUUGCCCCGAGAUGAGUUCUCCCUGAGACUUUAAGUCUCCUGAAGGAACGUUAAAGACGAUGACGUUGAUAGGCCGGGUGUGUAAGCGCAGCGAUGCGUUGAGCUAACCGGUACUAAUGAACCGUGAGGCUUAACCUUACAACGCCGAAG